UGGCUCUCGCAUCGAUGAAGAACGCAGCGAAAUGCGAUAAGUAAUGUGAAUUGCAGAAUUCAGUGAAUCAUCGAAUCUUUGAACGCAACUUGCGCCCUCUGGUAUUCCGGAGGGCAUGCCUGUUUGAGUGUCAUGUAGCCUCAAUCCCCCGGGUUUCCGGGAAGAUUGGAUUUGGGUGUUGCCUUUGAUGGCUCGCCUUAAAUGAAUUAGUGGACGACUGAUUAGUUGAGAGUAAUAAGUUUCUCUUGACGAUCUCGGCUCAACCGCUCAUAACCUACAUCUAUGACUCUGACCUCAAAUCAGGUAGGACUACCCGCUGA
Molecule: unclassified non-coding RNA, 320 nt
Filed under: uncultured fungus
Lineage: Eukaryota; Fungi
Description: partial contains 5.8S ribosomal RNA and internal transcribed spacer 2
Rfam family: 5.8S ribosomal RNA (bases 1-133)
Source: RNAcentral